This 658-nucleotide ribosomal RNA is filed under the name uncultured Candidatus Poseidoniales archaeon. Its description in RNAcentral is "bacterial SSU rRNA". It matches the Rfam family "Archaeal small subunit ribosomal RNA", at positions 1 to 665 of the family's 1478-position model. The record is from RNAcentral. Lineage: Archaea; Methanobacteriati; Thermoplasmatota; Candidatus Poseidoniia; Candidatus Poseidoniales.
UUCUGGUUGAUCCUGCCGGAGGCUACCGCUAUUGGAGUUCGAUUAAGCCAUGCGAGUCGAGAGUCUUAGGGACUCGGCGUACCGCUCAGUAACACGUGGGUAACCUGCCCUAUGCUGGGGAAUAACCUCGGGAAACUGAGAAUAAUACCCCAUAGUUCACCACGCCUGGAACGGUGGGUGGAUGAAAGCUCCGGCGGCAUAGGAUGGGCCUGCGACGUAUCAGGUUGUAGGGGGUGUAACGUACCCUCUAGCCAUCAACGCGUACGGGUGUUGGGAGACAUAGCCCGGAGAUGGAUUCUGAGACACGAAUCCAGACCCUACGGGGUGCAGCAGGCGCGAAAACUUGGCAAUGCGAGCAAUCGUGACCAGGGAACUCCAAGUGGCUGGGGUAAUACCCAGUUUUUUCUUGACUCUUCAAGGGUCUUGGAAUAAGGGGUGGGUAAGGACGGUGCCAGCCGCCGCGGUAAUACCGGCGCCUCAAGUGGUAGUCGCUUUUAUUGGGCCUAAAACGUCCGUAGCCGGUCUGGUGCAUUCGUGGGUAAAUCAACCCGCUCAACGGGUUGAAUUCUGCGAGCACGGCCAGACUUGGGACCGGGAGAGGUGUGGGGUACUCUCAGGGUAGGGGUAAAAUCCUGUCAUCCUGAGAGGACCACCUGUU